CCCUGAGGAGGACGAGGAGGAGGAGGAAUGAUUCUGCGGGCAGUCUGCCAGAUUGGCAAUUUGAAACGCACUGUCUGUGACGGCUGCUGAGGCUGCUGCGGGGGAGUGAAGGGCUGUCAUGACGAUGACCCCUGGAGCUCUACUAACCCAGGAAUAUAGAAACAUUGCUGACAGAGGAUCCAAGAUGGCCAAAGAGGAACAGCUCCAGAGUGCAGUUCCCAGCAAAAACAAUGCAGAGGGUGAACAGUGAUUCAACUGAACCCAGAAUCUCUCACCUGUUGGAGAUUCAAUCCUUAAACCAUGAGUUAGAAAGCAGCAGAGUGGAAGAAACAGAGAGCCUCUAAAAGUCAACACAAAAGGGGCAACGUAUUAUCUUUCAGAGAAAUCACUCUAUGUUUUUACCCUAAGUUUGUGGCAGAAGAAAGUGAACCCAAGAUGAAACUAGCUCUGAGAAAAAGACCAAAUCUCAUUUUGAUGUGGUCCUUUGUGAAACAUUACAGAGCAGAGCUGUAUCAGAUUUUAGGUAGUAUGUAAAAAGUAGCAUUUUAGGAUGGACUAUGAGAAUAUGUAAGAGUAAAACAAGUGUUCAUUUGGAAAAUAUUAUUAGUGUGACCUUUAUGAAAUAUUUUAUUAGUAGUUUACAACCUAUUCCAAUUGGAGUAUUUAGAAAUAUGUAGGGACAUUUCGAUUAUCAGAAUGUCUGAGAGGCAUUACUUGCAUAUUGUUGGCAACGAUAAAAACUAUAAAUGUCUUUUGGGUACUCCUGGAAAUCCAGCCAAUAAAGAACUGCUUUACACAAAAUGUCAUUAAUACUCUGAGAAAUACAGUGACAUGGAUAUAAUUAUAUUGCCAGGCUAAUCAUAGCCACACUCUUAUAUGUUACCUAGUAUAACUCAGUCUAUAAUGCAGCAGGUACACCUACACCCACCACCUCUAAUUCUACAAGAUGUAUACAGCAUAUAUUUUGAUUUAGGAAGUCAAAAAAGUCCCUUGCAAGAAAAAUCAGAAAAAAUCAAAAUGUCUAAUGGAAGGAAUCUCCCCUUUCUACUGCCUUAUCAGCUAAGAAUGCUUGUUUUUAAUAAAAUAUAUGCAACCAAGAAAACGAACUGGCCAGAGUCAGAGAACCAAGCCUCACCAAGGCCAAAAGGUUUUAAAUAUUACACAGACAUAUCUGUGCAUACAAACACACAGAUAGGUACAUAUAACUUAUUAUUCAAAUCAGCAAGGACUAAGACAGUUUUGCUAUGUUUACUUAAAAAACUUCUCUGAGGAGAAUGUUAAUAAAAAAUGUACAUGAUAAUCCACAGGAAUGAUAUUGAACAUUCUCGAGAUACUGAAUGGUUAUGAGAUGGAUUAUCAUUGCUACAGUGUAAAUAGAAAGACUAGUGAAAAUUUCCCAAGCUGCUAAAGACUUCUCUUUAUCCAGGUGAAAAUGUUUUUAAUUAUUUGUAAAAGUGCUAAUGUGCUCUUUGAUAGCAGGACAGAGGUUUGGACAUUUAUAUCAUCAGGUGGAGAAAGUUAUACCUGACUGGACUAACAGCUGCAACAUAAUUUUUCUGAUUGGCAUUGUGUAGAAUAUAACAACCUAGACAAUUAGAAUGACCUAAUCUUUUUGAUGUGCAUAUUUUAGUAACGAUACAAAUUUUUUUACAACAUUUGAUUCAACAUUUCUCUUAAAGAUUUUCUUUCAAGAUAUUUGAAACAGAUGAUCAGUGACUAGUUAUUAGAAAAUGUACUUAGUAUCUGAAUAGUUUUCAUCAAGAAAGAUUUUGAAAGGUAAUUCGUAUUUUGAAAGUUGUAUAAAUAAAUAAAAGUACUUCUUUUGUUUCCAGGAUCA
Long non-coding RNA from Callithrix jacchus (white-tufted-ear marmoset), 1837 nucleotides. RefSeq lists it as uncharacterized. Lineage: Eukaryota; Metazoa; Chordata; Mammalia; Primates; Cebidae. The record is from RefSeq and is a predicted model, not a curated record.